RNAcentral lists this ribosomal RNA (440 nucleotides) under uncultured bacterium. RNAcentral's name for it is "partial 16S ribosomal RNA". It matches the Rfam family "Bacterial small subunit ribosomal RNA", at positions 338 to 795 of the family's 1533-position model. The record is from RNAcentral.
CCUACGGGUGGCAGCAGUGGGGAAUAUUGCACAAUGGGGGGAACCCUGAUGCAGCGACGCCGCGUGAGUGAAGUAGCAUUUCGGCACGUAAAGCCCUAUCAGCAGGGAAGAAAAUGACGGUACCUGACCAAGAAGCCCCGGCUAACUACGUGCCAGCAGCCGCGGUAAUACGUAGGGGGCAAGCGUUAUCCGGAUUUACUGGGUGUAAAGGGAGCGCAGACGGCAGUGCAAGCCUGGAGUGAAAGGCCGGGGCCUAACCCCGGAACUGCUCUGGAAACUGGACAGCUAGAGUACAGGAGAGGAAAGUGGAAUUCCUAGUGUAGCGGUGAAAUGCGUAGAUAUUAGGAGGAACACCGGUGGCGAAGGCGGCUUGCUGGACUGUGACUGACGUUGAGGCUCGAAGGCGUGGGGAGCAAACAGGAUUAGAUACCCUGGUAGUC